This 387-nucleotide long non-coding RNA is filed under the name Equus caballus (horse). Its description in RNAcentral is "lncRNA (ENSECAG00000038529.2)". Lineage: Eukaryota; Metazoa; Chordata; Mammalia; Perissodactyla; Equidae. The record is from RNAcentral.
CAGAGACUCAUCCCACAGGAGUUUUUAUGUCAGACAGAAAGGAUAAACGUGACUCCAAGAACACUCUUUGGAGACAUGUACCCAGAUACUGCUUCCCAUAUAGAGACAAGACGAGUAGGAUUUCCCAACAUGCAGAGGAAGAAGACCAGAGAAUCAUUAUCGCAGCAGGGUCUGAAGAGAUCAGGAGAAUGACAGAGACCAAGAGGAAGAGCCAGAACGUUAGGAUAAACAAGGAAGGGGGAAGAAGCUUCUGAUACUACCAGACCUUGUUUCAUCACUCCAGCCCCAACGUAGGGCUGAGACAGGAGAAAGAGCAGAAGCCAAGAAGAAUUACUCUGACACGUUAAUAACUUUGCCCAUUGGACUUGGUGUUUUAGGAAUGUUACC